This 4830-nucleotide long non-coding RNA is filed under the name Salmo salar (Atlantic salmon). RNAcentral's name for it is "lncRNA (ENSSSAG00000098460.1)". The record is from RNAcentral. Lineage: Eukaryota; Metazoa; Chordata; Actinopteri; Salmoniformes; Salmonidae.
AAGCAGCUCCCAAGAUAUAUUAAGGUGUAAAUAAAGAUGAGAGUGAGAACAUUGGAAUAAUACAGAAAUCUGAACAUGGGACGCUUUCAGACAGGAAGGAGUGUCAUAAUGUUGUCUGUGAAGUCCAGUAACCACACUGUUGUCUGUGAAGCCCAGUAACCACACUGUUGUCUAUGAAGCCCAGUAACCAGACUGUUGUCUGUGAAGUCCAGUAACCUCAGAAAGGGUCCUGUCUGUCUCAGCUGUAAUACCAGUCUACAGGGUAACAGUCUGGUGGUCCAGUCUACAUGGUAACAGUCUGCUGGUCCAGUCUACAGGGUAACAGUCUGCUGGUCCAGUCUACAGGGUAGGAGGGGAACAGUCUACAUGGUAGGAGGGUAACAGUCUGGUGGUCCAGUCUACAGGGUAACAGUCUGCUGGUCCAGUCUACAGGGUAACAGUCUGCUGGUCCAGUCUACAGGGUAACAGUCUGGUGGUCCAGUCUACAGGGUAACAGUCUGGUGGUCCAGUCUACAGGGUAACAGUCUGGUGGUCCAGUCUACAGGGUAACAGUCUGGUGGUCCAGUCUACAGGGUAACAGUCUGGUGGUCCAGUCUACAGGGUAACAGUCUGCUGGUCCAGUCUACAGGGUAACAGUCUGCUGGUCCAGUCUACAGGGUAACAGUCUGGUGGUCCAGUCUACAGGGGUAACAGUCUGGUGGUCCAGUCUACAGGGUAACAGUCUGGUGGUCCAGUCUACAGGGUAACAGUCUGGUGGUCCAGUCUACAGGGUAACAGUCUGGUGGUCCAGUCUACAGGGUAACAGUCUGCUGGUCCAGUCUACAGGGUAACAGUCUGGUGGUCCAGUCUACAGGGUAACAGUCUGGUGGUCCAGUCUACAGGGUAACAGUCUGCUGGUCCAGUCUACAUGGUUUAGCUUAUAAAACGGUCCAGAAACACAGAAAGGCGUUAAAAUGAAUUUCCAUUUAACAGUCAAUAAGACAAGUUAGUAAACAACAACAGUUUGUCUGUCAGGUGUCCUGCCGUCCCUGUUGGUUAGUAAAGUGUCCCAACGGUGGCCUGUCUAGGACAGGUCAGUUACAGACAGACAGACAGGUUGUGUAGUCUAGGACAGGUCAGUUCCAGACAGACAGACAGGUUGUGUAGUCUAGGACAGGUCCGUUACAGACAGACAGGUUGUGUAGUCUAGGACAGAUCAGUUACAGACAGACAGGUUGUGUAGUCUAGGACAGGUCAGUUCCAGACAGACAGACAGGUUGUGUAGUCUAGGACAGGUCAGUUCCAGACAGACAGACAGGUUGUGUAGUCUAGGACAGGUCAGUUCCAGACAGACAGACAGGUUGUGUAGUCUAGGACAGGUCCGUUACAGACAGACAGGUUGUGUAGUCUAGGACAGGUCAGUUACAGACAGACAGACAGGUUGUGUAGUCUAGGACAGGUCAGUUCCAGACAGACAGACAGGUUGUGUAGUCUAGGACAGGUCAGUUCCAGACAGACAGACAGGUUGUGUAGUCUAGGACAGGUCCGUUACAGACAGACAGGUUGUGUAGACUAGGACAGGUCCGUUACAGACAGGUUGUGUAGUCUAGGACAGGUCCGUUCCAGACAGACAGUCUAGGACAGGUCAACGACAGACAGGCUGUGUAGUGACAGACAGCUGAUAUGAACAGUGAUUAGAGUGUAGUAAUAACAAUAGAAAAGAUAAUUACGACAGUGACAUUAAAGACCUAACAUUUAUCCCCCGUUAACCACAGUCCUGGAAUCAGAUGUUAACUCCUGUCUCUACAUAGUGGAGGUUAGGACCCCCUGUUAACCACAGUCCUGGAAUCAGAUGUUAACUCCUGUCUCUACAUAGUGGAGGUUAGGACCCCCGUUAACCACAGUCCUGGAAUCAGAUGUUAACUCCUGUCUCUACAUAGUGGAGGUUAGGGGACCCCCUGUUAACCACAGUCCUGGAAUCAGAUGUUAACUCCUGUCUCUACAUAGUGGAGGUUAGGGACCCCCGUUAACCACAGUCCUGGAAUCAGAUGUUAACUCCUGUCUCUACAUAGUGGAGGUUAGGACCCCCGUUAACCACAGUCCUGGAAUCAGAUGUUAACUCCUGUCUCUACAUAGUGGAGGUUAGGGGACCCCCUGUUAACCACAGUCCUGGAAUCAGAUGUUAACUCCUGUCUCUACAUAGUGGAGGUUAGGGACCCCCUGUUAACCACAGUCCUGGAAUCAGAUGUUAACUCCUGUCUCUACAUAGUGGAGGUUAGGGACCCCCUGUUAACCACAGUCCUGGAAUCAGAUGUUAACUCCUGUCUACAUAGUGGAGGUUAGGGACCCCCCGUUAACCACAGUCCUGGAAUCAGAUGUUAACUCCCGUCUCUACAUAGUGGAGGUUAGGGACCCCCGUUAACCACAGUCCUGGAAUCAGAUGUUAACUCCUGUCUACAUAGUGGAGGUUAGGGACCCCCGUUAACCACAGUCCUGGAAUCAGAUGUUAACUCCUGUCUACAUAGUGGAGGUUAGACCCCCGUUAACCACAGUCCUGGAAUCAGAUGUUAACUCCUGUCUCUACAUAGUGGAGGUUAGGACCCCCGUUAACCACAGUCCUGGAAUCAGAUGUUAACUCCUGUCUCUACAUAGUGGAGGUUAGGGACCCCCCGUUAACCACAGUCCUGGAAUCAGAUGUUAACUCCCGUCUCUACAUAGUGGAGGUUAGGACCCCCGUUAACCACAGUCCUGGAAUCAGAUGUUAACUCCCGUCUCUACAUAGUGGAGGUUAGGGACCCCCCGUUAACCACAGUCCUGGAAUCAGAUGUUAACUCCUGUCUCUACAUAGUGGAGGUUAGACCCCCGUUAACCACAGUCCUGGAAUCAGAUGUUAACUCCUGUCUCUACAUAGUGGAGGUUAGGGACCCCCGUUAACCACAGUCCUGGAAUGAGAUGUUAACUCCUGUCUCUACAUAGUGGAGGUUAGGACCCCCCGUUAACCACAGUCCUGGAAUCAGAUGUUAACUCCUGUCUACAUAGUGGAGGUUAGACCCCCGUUAACCACAGUCCUGGAAUCAGAUGUUAACUCCUGUCUACAUAGUGGAGGUUAGACCCCCGUUAACCACAGUCCUGGAAUCAGAUGUUAACUCCUGUCUCUACAUAGUGGAGGUUAGACCCCCCGUUAACCACAGUCCUGGAAUCAGAUGUUAACUAGGUUAAGGGAUCUGAUGCUAGAUAGACAGAAAGGUUCAACCUCCUCGUUAUUCCGUCGACCCCCAGACAGGGGGGGGGGGCCCUGAUGAACUCCAGACAGGGGGGGGGGCCCUAAUGAACUCCAGACAGUUGUACAAUAACAGAUGUCAACAGAAACCAAAUCCCUUGUGUCUUUCACUCCCAAAUAAACACCGUCUCUCCCUCUUUCUGAGAAAGUUGAUCCACUCCGGUCACCAGUUCAUAUAUACACGCUGACCUCAGGGGUUAAAGUUCAUGUACAUAUUGACCUCAGGGGUUAAAGUUCAUAUACACGUUGACCUCGGGGUUGCUGUGUGUCAGGGUCAUAGGUCAGGGUCCUAAGCAGUGACCUCAGAAGUUGUGGCCGGUAACGGGAGGAGGGACACAGUGUACCGGACAGUGGAGUCGUCUCCAGCUAAGGACUAACGGUGAAGCAACAGUCACAGCUAAAUGAGCAUGUGCAAAAUCCCUGCUUAGUACACACACACACCCCUCACCGGGGCUGUAGAAGUUUAGUUAGAUUCACUCUGUGAUCAGAGACGAGCUUUAAAAAAACAGUCAGAACAGCCAGGAAUACUGUCUACAGGACACAGUCUCUGAGCUGAGAGAGGAGAGGGGGAAGAGAGAGAGAGAGAGAGAGCGGGAAGAGAGAGAGAGAGAGAGGAGCGGGGAAGAGAGAGAGAGAGGAGCGGGGAAGAGAGAGAGAGAGAGGAGCGGGGAAGAGAGAGAGAGAGAGGAGCGGGGAAGAGAGAGAGAGAGAGGAGCGGGAAGAGAGAGAGAGAGAGGAGCGGGGAAGAGAGAGAGAGAGGAGAGGGGAAGAGAGAGAGAGAGGAGAGGGGAAGAGAGAGAGAGAGGAGAGGGGAAGAGAGAGAGAGAGAGCGGAAGAGAGAGGAGCGGGGAAGAGAGAGAGAGAGAGGGAAGAGAGAGGAGCGGGGAAGAGAGAGAGAGAGAGGAGAGAGAGAGAGGAGCGGGAAGAGAGAGAGAGAGGAAGAGAGAGAGAGGAGGGGAAGAGAGAGAGAGAGAGGGAAGAGAGAGAGAGGAGCGGGGAAGAGAGAGAGAGGAGCGGGGAAGAGAGAGAGAGGAGCGGGGAAGAGAGAGAGAGAGAGGAAACGGGAAGAGAGAGAGGAAACGGGAAGAGAGAGAGGAGAGGAAACGGGAAGAGAGAGAGGAGAGGAAACGGGAAGAGAGAGAGGAGAGGAAACGGGAAGAGAGAGAGGAGAGGAAACGGGAAGAGAGAGAGGAGAGGAAACGGGAAGAGAGGAAACGGCGAGGUGGAAAGACUGAGGAGAGGAUUCCAGGGGUGUUGUCGAGGUGUUCCCUCACAACAGGAAGGGGUUGGUGGUCCCAGGAGGAUGUGUGCCCGCUGUGGGGGGCAGAGCUGAACUGAACAGGGGCUGGGACAUAGACACAGAGGUUGGGAUACCCCCCAUCCCUCCAAUCCCGGGGACCAUGUGGCCCGUCAGGGGGACCAUCCCCAGGGGCUGGGGUGGUGGCAAGGAGGAGAGGGGCAGAGGGUCUGCCAUGGAGGACAAGCUGCUAAACCCUGCACCACCUCCCAGACUCAGGCCUGGCAUAGGGCUGAUCCUCAUCUGGUUUAAGGUAGGGGGUUAGGCUGGCCCA